AAUGGCAGACUCCCUCCAAACUCUGCCAGUAUUUCCCAUUAGCCAAAUCCUACUGGAAGUGGAAGGCAAGAAAGCCCAUCAUGGCAAUCUAUACAGGUCAGCCUCUAGUGGCCCAGAGCAAGGUGAAGAAAGGUGGACAUGGACUCAGAGGGGCUUGUAGGCCUGAGAAUGACCUUAUCCCAACCUUCACUUGAUUCCUAUUUGGCCGACUAUAUAAUGAUAGAUUAGAAAUAAUUCUCUCUUGGAAUUUUGAAGACAUUGCUCUUUGCCUUUCAGCUUCUAGCAUUGCUUUUGGGAAAUCCAAAGCCAUUCUGGUUUCUGAGCCCAUAUAUAAAUUAGCUUUUUCUUCCUGAAAGUUUCUAGGAUCUUCAGGAGUCCCCUAAAAUGCCCAAUUCAACUCCCAAUCGAUCUAUUAAAUAAAUUAUCCCAACAGCUAUUUUGAAAAACAAUUUACAGAGACAGGAAAAGGAAUUACUUAUCCAUUUUUGGAGAAAUCACUUUUCCCUUAAGCAACAUUUAGAGGCCAGUCUAAUAGAGGUAUUGAAUUUUGAAUUUUGUUUAAAAUACAUCUUCCGGGGAAAAUCAUGUCAGAGAUGGGGAGGAAAAAAAUCACGAUAGUGGGAGUAUCCAAAAUUAUAGUAUUUCUACUCAACAUCUAAAAAUGUUAUCCUAUCCUCACAUGAAAUCGCUGUUGAGUAAGAUCAACCUAGGUUACCACUAAACAGCGUGUGUCUUUUCAAUAGCCUGGGGCCGCAGACUCUUCAAAAAGCAGAUUUAUAAAACAUUUCUCUUAGAAAAAUGGUAAGAUUUGGUGCACGGUACGCCUGGGUGGCUCAGUCAGUUGAGUGUCCAACUUCAGCUUAGGUCAUGAUCUUGCAGUUCGUGAAUUCGAGCCCCUCAUCGGGCUCACUGCUGUCAGCACAGACCCCACUUUGGAUCCUUUGUCCCCUUUUCCCUCCACCCCUCGCCCCCCAAAAAAUAAAUUUGAAAGAAAAAGACAAAUGAUAAGCUUUAUUUUUAAUAAGCUUAUUAUUUUACAUGAGAUAUCAUAACUGGGAGAUUACCCUGUUGUAGAAACCAGAAUCCAAUAAGUUACCCCAGCACAGAACAAUGUGGGUGACAGAAAUUCUUUUGUAGGUUGUCGUCUCCCAAUGGAGCCAAAGUUGCUUGGCCCGAGAUUAUUUCCAUGGUCUGUUGGACACCAAAGAUGAGGCUGGCUCUUGGCCACGAGCUAGGCUGCCCAGUCAAUAAGACCUGCUUUCAACAACCCAAGGCUGCACUGACUUCUGAUUUUUUUUUUUUAACAAUAGAAAUGAAACUGCCACAGGGAAGAGAGAGAACAAUGGUGUUUUGACAAAUGGAACAAAGAUCUAGCUUGACUGACAAUUCAGGUCAGAAAGAAAAAGAAGGCACAGGAAGACUGGUGUGGGUCCUCCCUCUUGCCAAGAAGCAAGCACUCUGUGGGAGGUUUCCACCGACAUGACGAACUGGCUCAGCAGUGGCCAUUUGGGUUGAGCAAUUGUGUUGGAUGUUUUCUGGCAAAAGGGUGCUUUUUCUAGGACUUCAAAUAUAAUUAGAGUAAAAACUGCGCAAUCAACACGUACAGCCAGAGUAUCUUUGAAACCUAAGGAAGGAAGAACCAGUGAGAACUUGUGAGAUUCCCUGAAAAAUGUUAUUGUCCUGUUUCUUUGGAGAUCUGCUAGAAUAGGUCAGAUGGGAGUUCUGGCCUGUGGAUGGGGCUUGGCUAAGAAACCUCUAGCUGCCCUUUCGAGACUUGUAAUCCUCUAAAAAUGGAAAUUAGGAAGCAUUCAUUCAUGACCUUGAAAAAAAUGUUUAUAAAAGUAUAUUAUAAUGUAUCAGUGAAACGAGCUGGGAAAAGGGUUUAUGUGAAAGUUCAUGUGAGAAAUGCAGCUAUUAGCACGCAUGCCAUUCCCCACCUUGACCCCAGCAGGAAUGUGUAAAUUGUAACAUAUGGAAUGUAAGCGUCUGUUGAGAUGUUUCAUAAAUCUGCCUGGCAAUGAGCAUCACAAGGCCCUGCGUGAGAACGGGCCCCAGAAAGGGAGAGACGGUGAAUGUCACAUCUAACUCUAGGCUGCUAAUCAGCCCAGAAUCUGACAAUCAAAAAUGUGCAGACAAUGUUCUUUAAUAAUAUCAGUUACUUUCUGACAAAGUGAGCUUUUUUUUAUGGGACCCGGCCUAGGAAUAGGAAAUACAUUCAUCCAUUCACUCAAGAAAUGUUUAUCAAGAGCCUGUAACAUGGCAGGCAGUGUGCUGGGCACCACAAGUACAGUGGGAACCAGAGAGAGAGACACUGCCUUGCUGCCUUACAACCUGAGGUGUGUAGAAAAACAGAUGUUAAACAAGUAAUAACAAAAAUAAUUUUAUAAUUACAAUUUGGAUAACUGCUAGAAAAGAAAACAAUAGCUUAUGCCAAUAGUACACCCCCUUGUCCAAACUUUCUACGUGGAUUAUCCCAUUUAAUCCUCAUAUAUCCUCCUGUGGUAGAUGCUAUUAUUUGCCCCAUUUUAUUUAUGUUUGUUUAUUUUUGAGAGUGAGAGAGACAGAAUGCGAGUGGGGGAGGCGGAGAGAGAGAGAGAGAGAGAGAGAGAGAGAGAGAGAGAGAGACAGAAUCUGAAGCAGGCUCCAGGCUCUGAGCUGUCAGCACAGAGCCCAACGCGGGGCUCGAACUCACGGACAGUGAGAUCAUGACCUCAGCCGAAAGUUGGAUACCCAACCGACUGAGCCACCCAGGUACCCCUAGCUCCAUUUUAAAGAUGAAGAAAUAGGGGCACCUGGGUGGCUCAGUCUGUUGGGUGUCUGACUUUUGGUUUCUGCUCAGGUCAUGAUCUCACGGUUUGUCAGAUGGAGCCCUGCAUCAGGCUCCCUGCUGAUAGUGCGGAGCCUGCUUGAGAUUCUCUCUCUCUCUGCUCCUCCACCACUUGUGUGCAUGCACACGUGCAUGCUCUCUCUCUCAAAAUAAAUAAACAUCAAAAAAAUAAAGAAAUAAAGUCAUGAAGGUCUGCACAUCUUGCUCAAGGCCACACAGCUAAUGAGUGGUGGGCUCAGAAUAUAGUGUCAGUCAGCAUGAGUCCAGGCCCCCAGUUCCUGACUAUGUGCCAUUUUUUUUUAUGACCUUUUAAUGAGGAAAGAGCACUGAUUUAGAUUUGCAGGUUAAAGAAAAUGUCUCUCAGGAUAUGAUUUUAGGCCAAGCCCAAAGAUAAGUAGGAAUUAAUUGGUUAGAAGAAGUAUUUCAAAAUUGGUGAAAUAGCACGUCAAAAGGUCCUGCAGCAGAAGGAGUUGGCUUUGGAGGCUGGCGUAACUGGGGUGUGGGGGGGUGAAGGCAAGGCUGGAAGGUAGGCAAGGGUCAGAGUAGGUGGGACCUUGUAAAUCCUGCUAAGAGUCUUGAGCUAAAUCCUGGUUAGUGUGGAGCUCCUGAAAGACCACACUUUGUCUGGGCCUCAGUGGAGUUACCCCAGGCACAACUGCUACAGCUAGGAGAGGAGACGUGUUCUUCCCAUGGAGGAUAGAGGCUGCUGCUGAGCUAGGAACUCAACCCUCCUUCCCACUGUCUCCUGCAGAAGAAAGAGGAUUCUACACAGUUCUGUUCUUAUCAGCUCUCUGUCCUCUGCUGUAGUUAGAAGAUGGCAAUGUUCAGAAGAGACUGAUGUUAUGUGCUGAAUGUUUAUGUCCCCCUCCCCGAAUUCAUAUGUUGAAAUCCUGAUCCUCAGUGUGAUGGUAUUUGGGAGGUAAUCAGGUCAUGAGGGCAGAGUUCUCGCAGAUGGGAUUAGUGCCCUCAUAAGAAGAGACAGAGGGGGCGCCCGGGUGGCUCAGUCGGUUAAGCAUCUGACUUCGGCUCAGGUCAUGAUCUCGCAGCUUGUGAGUUCAAGCUCCAUGUUGGGCUCUGUGCUGACAGCUCAGAGCCUGGAGCCUACUUCAGAUUCUGUGUCUCCCUCUUUCUGCCCCUCCCCUGCUCACGCUCUGUCUCUCUCUCUAAAAAAUAUUUUUAAAAAUUUAAAAAAAGAAAGGGAAGAGACAGAGAACUAGCUCCCUGUGAGGAUACAAUGAGGCGUUGGCCAUUUGCAAGCGGGAAGAGGGCUCUCCCAGAAUAUGACCGUGCUGGCACCCUGAUCUUACACUUCCAUCCUCCAGAAAUGUGAGAAAUUUCUGUUGUUUAUAAGCCACCCAGUGUAUGGUAAUCAGUGAUUACCAAACUGACUAAGACAGUCAGCCCAAACUGACUAAGACAACUGGAAAACGUGGGCACUUCAGUGGCUCAGUCUAUCAAGCUAACCAAGAGUCUGACCAAGCUGACCAAGAGUCUGUCAACCUAAACUCUUGGUUUAGGCUCAGGUCACGAUCUCACGGUUCGGGAGUUUAAGCCCUGCGUUGGGUUCUGUGCUGGCAGCACAGAGCCUACUUAGGAUUCUCUCUCUCUUCCUCUCUCUGUGCCUCUCUCCUGUUUGUGCACUCUCCGUCCCUCAAAACAAAUAAACAUUAUUUUUUUUUUUAAAAAGACAACUGGAAAAUCAAGAAUUCAUUCAGCACUACCUAAUAUUAACCUUAGGCACCACCAUUAAUUUUGGCUUUGUCCAAACCACAGGAAUUAAGAUUAAGAAAACUAUCCCCCCCCCCACUCCAAAUUUCCAAGUUAAAAAUGGCAGCAUUUCCUUACACUCCUGAGACAGACACUCUGUUAUUCUGGGGUGUUUCUUGAAAUCACUUGUUUCAUUUAUUCAUUCAUCAAAGGUUUGUGUACCUAUUGUGUGGCAGACAUGAAGGAUAGGAAAGCAAGUAAGACUCAAGCCCCCGUGGGAGGCAGAAUAAUGCAUCCUCAAAAUGUCCUGGAACCUGUGAACAUAUUACCUUAUGUGGCUGAAGAGUGUUUUGCAGAUGUGUAUAAGUUGAGGACCUUGAGUGGGGAGAUCAUCCUGGAUUAGGCAGGUGGCCCCAUAUAAUCAGAAGAGUCCAUUUAAGAGUGAAAGAGGGAGACAGGAGGGCCGGAGUCAGAGAAGCAGUUGUAAGGACUGAGGGAGAGUAAGCGAUGCAUUUCCUGGGUUGGGGCCACAAGCCAAGGAACAAGGGCAGCCUCUGGAAGCUGGAAAAGGCGAGGAUUGGAUCCUCCACUGGAGCCACCAGAAAGGGAUGGAGACCUCCCAGCCUACCUUGGUUUUUAGCCCAGUAAGACCCUCUUGGGAUUUCUCAUCUUCAUAACCAUAAGAUAACAAGUUUAUAUUGUGUCAGACCACUAAAUUUGUGAUCAUUUUUACACCAGCAGUAGGAAACAAAUGCACUCCCCGUUCCAGCCGGAACCUGGCCCAGGACAGACAUUUUAAUCCCUCAGUUUCCCACUAGUGCCCAGAUGCAGCCUCGUAGUCUCCCAACUCAGCAGUCCAGGUGGGGGCUCACUUACAUCCUGCGGGUGGAUGCAACUCACUUCCCAUCCUGUGGGGUCCGUGCAACCACUUACCCCUGAGUGUGACCCCACCGGCAUUGCUGUAUACCCAAAUAUUAAUUAUGUGGAUAUUUCUUAAUAAUUCUUCUAGAGUGGGGUUUCUACAUUGGUUCUGCCCCCUGAUUGCUGUGUCUCCUCGGGCAAAUUACCUACAUUCAUUCCCGGGCUUCAAUUUCAUUACCUUUAAGAUAAUAAUAUCUACGUCCAGGAUUGUGAAGCCUAGGUGACUUUGGUAUGAAAGCAUUAAAAAUCAUAACCUGGCACACAGGAUGUGCUCAACAAAUUUUAACAUGGUCAUGAUGACUGCUAUGAUUAUUCCCUACAGUGCUUAACAUGAGGCUUAAAAGUCCUUUGGGGGCAUGCCGUUUACAGUGUGGGACACACACUGGACGGGCAAGAGUGGGUGUCAGUGGACAAGGGCUAAUCGGGGGGAGAUUGAAUUAGGGUGAGAGGAUCAAAAUGGAAUGAAGUGGGUGGGCUUGACAGAUACGGCAGAAGUAAAACCACCAGACCAGUUGGUGAGUGGCAUUUGGGGGUGGAGAUGUGCCAGGAACGACAAAGUCAGAAGCCUUAUGAUGAUGUGCUAAUACGGCAUGGAAUGAAUCCUUAUUUUGCUUUUGUGCUCUCCUGCUCCCUGGUUUUUUCCUACUGCGGUCCUCUUUCCUGUCUUCCCAUAAUAAAGAAACAUCAUACAAAUUAAAAAAAAAAAAAAAAGAGCAAAAGGAGGCACCAGGUAU
This 6189-nucleotide long non-coding RNA is filed under the name Lynx pardinus (Iberian lynx). The record is from RNAcentral. Lineage: Eukaryota; Metazoa; Chordata; Mammalia; Carnivora; Felidae.